This 253-nucleotide ribosomal RNA is filed under the name uncultured bacterium. RNAcentral describes it as "partial 16S ribosomal RNA". It matches the Rfam family "Bacterial small subunit ribosomal RNA", at positions 524 to 776 of the family's 1533-position model. The record is from RNAcentral.
UACGUAUGGUGCAAGCGUUAUCCGGAUUUACUGGGCGUAAAGGGAGCGCAGGCGGCGCGCCAAGUCUGAUGUGAAACCCCGGGGCUCAACCCCGGGCAUGCAUUGGAAACUGGCGGGCUGGAGUGCCGGAGAGGUAAGCGGAAUUCCUAGUGUGGCGGUGAAAUGCGUAGAUAUUAGGAGGAACACCAGUGGCGAAGGCGGCUUACUGGACGGCAACUGACGCUGAGGCUCGAAAGCGUGGGGAGCAAACAGG